CCCUACGGGGUGCCAUCGGCUCUGCCGUCUUCGAAAUCCAACUGAUGAGCGAACUCGUGGAAUACCACGUUGUGUCCGUCUUCAGGGUUGGUGGUCCCGUGGUGGACCGCGUCCCAGGCCAGCACGACUGCGCCGGAGUCCCAGGCCUCGCCCAGUCGGUGGUCUUGCGUCUCAUGAACAACGCCUGCCCCCAAAGGCCGCGUGGUCGUCACAAAGUAGGUGCUUGGAUAGACCAGGAUCGACCGCAGCCGGGGGUAAUAGUCCGUCUGGCGGUGCAACAGCAGCAGGCAAGCCUGCGCCGCGAUGCAAACCUUCAUCUCCUCGGUAACCUUGAGACCACCGCAACCCUCAAAGCGCUUCUCCGCGAGGAAAACCUGUAUAUGCCCUUGCAGUUCGGCGCGGUCCUCCAGGGAGAGC
Molecule: ribosomal RNA, 417 nt
Filed under: uncultured prokaryote
Description: partial 16S ribosomal RNA
Source: RNAcentral